This 3053-nucleotide long non-coding RNA is filed under the name Linum usitatissimum (flax). Its description in RNAcentral is "long non-coding RNA (LUSI_LNC005951)". The record is from RNAcentral. Lineage: Eukaryota; Viridiplantae; Streptophyta; Magnoliopsida; Malpighiales; Linaceae.
UAUAAGACUGCGUUCUGUGCUGAAAGUGGACUUUAGUAGGGUGCUGAUUUCCUAGCAAACCAUUAGAUAAGGACAGAUAGCAGAGCUUUACAUCAACGGCUCUGACUCACGCGAGCGUGGUUUGGGCAUAGGAGAUCAAACUAAAAAACCCAAGACCUUACUUAAAAUUCGAAAACCCUUUACUUCACCUAAAAGAUAUCUUGUGUCGUCUCUGUAACUUCAAAGUCCCUCUGAGAAUCCUCUCGUUGUCGUUCCUUCUCCGACGAUCGUUUUCCUUAAUUCUUUAGAGUAGUACUCCAAUCAAUCUUAUGUGCAUCUUUCAUUGCUGUUCCGAUGAUCAAUCUCCUUCCAUUGUUUUGCAAUUCCAUUCCCGUUUGAUCUUCUCUGUUUUCUUCAAUCUCCGUUCGAUUUCCUCUAUCUUCUUCAAUCUCCGUUCGAUUUCCUCUGUUUGCUGAAAUCUCCGUCUGAUCACCGUAGUUUCUUCAAUAUCCAUUCGAUCUCCUCUGUUUGAUCUUCUCCGUAAGAAAGAGAUGGCAACACACGCUGCCAAUCCAGCAUCCGAGCAGGGCGCUACAAACAGAGUAUAGAAACUAGUGUCGAUGACCGUCAAUUUUAGUAAUCUAACAACUGUAGAGCCACUCCUAGAAACAAGUUCUUUUACUGAAACAAGUUCUUUUACUGAAACUUGUUAGAGGGUGGUAUUAAUAUAUUUGAAGUAACUUCUUAGACCAUACCACCGAUCCAAUAGGAAAAUCGAUGAAACAGGCAAUGCUAAACUCGAAGUACAUCAACAUGUUGGGAUAAAUGCAAGGGACUCAUAUGAUGUCUUGGCUGAGAAAGCAGGUACUAAGUUGGGUUGGAGUAGGUAUUGGAGUAACAAAUAUAUAUAUUAACUUGUUUGGCGUACCUUUUGAAAUGGUCGGGGAAGAUAUUAACACUUUGUAAAUAUUCAUAUUUUUGACGUACUUAUAAAGUUAAUAGAUGUACUAUAUGAAAAAAAUGUAGGGGGAGAGAUGAAUAUCGGAUUCCUAGAGGAAGAUAUAUGAAACCAUCAGUAGGUAGCAAGGGAGAACCCUAUGAAACCAAGCGAGGUCCCAAUUCCCAACAAGCAAAUCAAGGAGAUGAUCCGAGUUGACAAAAACUACUACUUUGACACAGAAUAAGACAAUAAUGACUACAUAAAGAGUAUUUUCUAGGCAGACGAACAAAUGUGGACAGACUUUACUGUUUUUGGUGACUCAAUAAGCUUUGAUACAACCUACCGGACAAAUGACCACCACAGACAACUAGGUAAAAAAUUUCAACACCUACUUACACUAUUCUAUUAGCUACGUGAAACCUUCUUAUUUCAUAAAAAAAAUUACCUGCAGAUGUGUUUGUCAGGUAUAAUCACCACUGUCACCUGUGUGUCUUUGCUGCUGCACUACGAUAUGAUGAAACCACUAAAACAUUCACUUGGUUGUUCAAUACGUUCAAGAAAUGUACGAGGGGAAAAUCACCAAAACUAUAUUUACUGAUCAAGCUCCUACAAUAGCAGCAGGAAUAAGGUUUGUUCCGCUAAGUAGUGUCACUAAACCAACUUUUCUUAUGAUUAUAUCCACCACUCAAAUUGCCAAUACUACUGCUAAAAGCUGAUUAUCUACUAAAAACUCAUCUCUACCAUUAUUAUAUUUGGUGUACGCCGCUCAUUUUUAUUCCCACUAAUCAAUGUUUGCAGGUCUGUGUUUCCAAACCCAACCACAUUCCAUGGAUUAUGCAGUUUCAACAUAAUGCAACAACAACCUAUAGAAAUACAUGAAGCCUGACAAUAAUUUAUCAGUGCUCUUGGAACAGUUCAAUCGAAUGAUGGCCAAAAAGAGGCCCAAGGUUCUGAACCUUGACUAUCUAGUCAGACACAGGUGCAUUGUAAGAAAGAACUACACAAAUUAAUGGUUUAACUAUGUAUUUGAUUGAUAUAUCUACUUCAAAGUAUACAAUAACGACCUUUUAUAUAUAUAUAACUACUACAUCUUGAUCGACUGCUUAAAUGGUAUACCUAAUUUUAUCUAAUUACUUUGCUCCAUUAGGUUGCCAAUAAACCGUUUCAAAGAUAGCCCAAUUGCAAAACAAUUUUCUUUUGCAUGACACACAAGACAUAUAUGUUAAGUUUAUUAAGGAGAAUGCUCCAAUGUUAUCAUAUGCCAUUCAAAGGCUGCCACAAAACAACAGCCCCAAGGGCUGUAAAGCUUUGAGGUGUUCAAACGAGAAGAUCUGGAGACAAUCACCAACUUGUGAACGGUGAUGAUAAAUGUCGAAGACCAGGAAGUCAUAUGCGCAUGCCAAAAGUUUGAGUUGAAGGAUUACUUUGUCGUCAUAGUAUGCGACUCGUUGAGCUGCUCGGGUCUAUCGAUGAACCAACGCUGCUCCUAGUACCUAAGACGUACAUAUUGGAACGAUGGACUACAAAGGCUAGGAUUUUGGCAAAAGUGCAGGAAAAGCCUCAAAUGGCUGAUGAAACAGACACGAGGAGAUACCAGGGUUAUGUGCUCAGAUGUGCCUAGUUGCAGAAAAGGUAUGUUGCACUGAGUAAUAACUACAUUUUAUAAUACUAUAGGUAGUUUGUUCUAUUCAAUAACUACUGAUACUUCUAAAUAACAUAAUAACAACUACAACAACAUAGACGAUACCUACACUAGAUAACCAAUAAAAACUAAAUGUAACCACAUAAACAAGGACAAAAAAAGCAAUAACUACAUGAUAGAACUCUAUCACUAACAAUAAACAAGAGGUUAAAAUAACAGUGAAUUAAACGAUACAAAACGCCUCUAGAAGAAACCUCUAAAACCUACCACCAGAUUUCAACAAAAAGGAAUACGAACCCUAAGCAAUUUCUUGGAGAAAAGGCCAUCCAGAUGAUGAACACAAGUAACAAAGAAAAACCGAGGAAAUCACCACAAAGAGUAAACAAUGCAGAGUGUGACUGCGAAACAAAAACGAGACAAAGAUAUCACUAACCUACAGUGAAAAAUGAACGAACCAUGGAAGUGAUGAACGAACGUCGGAAGUGACGAACG